Molecule: small nucleolar RNA, 72 nt
Organism: Cricetulus griseus (Chinese hamster)
Lineage: Eukaryota; Metazoa; Chordata; Mammalia; Rodentia; Cricetidae
Product: small nucleolar RNA SNORD113/SNORD114 family
Source: Ensembl
UGGAUCCGUGAUGACGGUGGGUGCUGUAUGAGUCGUGAAUCAUGAUUACAGGUCUGUGAGUCUGAGCUUCAC